AAACCCUUCGCAUUGUAGCAUUUUAAUUUCCCGCAGAAACCCAAAACUGUCUCGGGAAAACUACGAUCCCAGUUUAGUUAGCCGUUGGAUUUUGAUGAAAUUUGGACAUGUUGUUCGAAAUUCAAUUCCGCACGCUUCCACCGUUGGGAUUUGCGAGAUAAUAUUCGUGGAGGGAGAAAAAGGAAUCGCAUGAAGACAGUACAAG
This 205-nucleotide long non-coding RNA is filed under the name Glycine max (soybean). Its description in RNAcentral is "long non-coding RNA (GMAX_LNC001343)". Lineage: Eukaryota; Viridiplantae; Streptophyta; Magnoliopsida; Fabales; Fabaceae. The record is from RNAcentral.